GAUUAACGCUGGCGGCGUGCAUAACACAUGCAAGUCGAACGAUGAAUCUUAGUAGACUUCUUCGGAAAGACACUAAGCGGAUUAGUGGCGAACGGGUGAGUAACGCGUGAGUAACCUGCCUUACACAAGGGGAUAGCCUUUGGAAACGAAGAAUAAUACCCUAUAAAACCAUAAAAGCACAUGCUAGAAUGGUCAAAGUGAUAGCGGUGUAAGAUGGACUUGCGUCUGAUUAGCUAGUUGGUGAGAUAAAAGCUCACCAAGGCAACGAUCAGUAGCCGGCUUGAGAGAGUGUACGGCCACAUUGGGACUGAGACACGGCCCAGACUCCUACGGGAGGCAGCAGUGGGGAAUUUUGCACAAUGGGGGAAACCCUGAUGCAGCGACGCCGCGUGAUUUAGAAGGCCUUCGGGUUGUAAAAAUCUUUUGUAUAGGAAGAAAAUGACAGUACUAUACGAAUAAGGUCCGGCUAAUUACGUG
This 477-nucleotide ribosomal RNA is filed under the name uncultured bacterium. Its description in RNAcentral is "partial 16S ribosomal RNA". It matches the Rfam family "Bacterial small subunit ribosomal RNA", at positions 28 to 507 of the family's 1533-position model. The record is from RNAcentral.